GACGAACGCUGGCGGCGUGCCUAAUACAUGCAAGUAGAACGCUGAAGGAGGAGCUUGCUUCUCUGGAUGAGUUGCGAACGGGUGAGUAACGCGUAGGUAACCUGCCGGUAGCGGGGGAUAACUAUUGGAAACGAUAGCUAAUACCGCAUAAGAGUAGAUGUUGCAUGACAUUUGCUUAAAAGGUGCAAUUGCAUCACUACCAGAUGGACCUGCGUUGUAUUAGCUAGUUGGUGGGGUAGCGGCUCACCAAGGCGACGAUACAUAGCCGACCUGAGAGGGUGAUCGGCCACACUGGGACUGAGACACGGCCCAGACUCCUACGGGAGGCAGCAGUAGGGAAUCUUCGGCAAUGGACGGAAGUCUGACCGAGCAACGCCGCGUGAGUGAAGAAGGUUUUCGGAUCGUAAAGCUCUGUUGUAAGAGAAGAAACGAGUGUGAGAAGUGGAAAAGUUUCACAACUGUGACGGUUUCUACCAGAAAAGGACGG
Molecule: ribosomal RNA, 487 nt
Filed under: Streptococcus mitis
Lineage: Bacteria; Bacillati; Bacillota; Bacilli; Lactobacillales; Streptococcaceae
Description: bacterial SSU rRNA
Rfam family: Bacterial small subunit ribosomal RNA
Source: RNAcentral